GAGAUAGACUGGGACACCGAGAACUGCUAAUUACUCGCUGCCGGGGUUCAAUUCCACGGCUAACUCG
Molecule: transfer RNA, 67 nt
Filed under: Scaphiopus couchii (Couch's spadefoot toad)
Lineage: Eukaryota; Metazoa; Chordata; Amphibia; Anura; Pelobatidae
Description: tRNA-Ser
Source: RNAcentral